RNAcentral lists this ribosomal RNA (1110 nucleotides) under Triticum aestivum (bread wheat). RNAcentral describes it as "partial small subunit ribosomal RNA". The record is from RNAcentral. Lineage: Eukaryota; Viridiplantae; Streptophyta; Magnoliopsida; Poales; Poaceae.
AUGGAUACGUCUAGUGCCGCUUCUGAGGUGGCAAGUUCUCAGUCGCUAAAAAGGAAUUCUGAUGACAUGGCAUGGGAAUUUGCCAUAUUGUGUGAUCCAAAUGAUUUGCAAAGAGUGAAGUGCAAGCUAUGUGGAAAAGAAAUGUCUGGAGGGGUCAAUAGGAUGGAGCAACACAUAGCACAAAUCAGAGGCUCAGUGACAAGUUGUAUGUGGGGCAAUAUUUGUCUAGAUGGAUGUACAAGAAAAACAUACCCUUCAAUGCUAUCAAUGAUGAUGACUUCAAACAAUUUUAUGUUGUUGCGGGAGGUGGAAAGGACUAGGGAUUUGUUGAAGACACAUGAGGCUGAGAGGGAGAUCACCGGGUGCUCUGUCAUGACUGAUGCUUGGACAGACAAGAAAAGAAGGAGCAUCAUGAACUUGUGUGUGCAUUGUAAGUUGGGGACAGUUUUUCUUGAAUCAAAGGAGGCAUCGGCUGAUGCACACACAAGUCUCUACAUCUUCAAUUACGUGGAUGAAUGCAUUGAGAAAAUUGGUGCUGAUAAUGUUGUACAAGUAGUCACGGAUAAUGCUUCAAACAAUAUGGGAGCAAAAGGGAUGUCGAAAGAAAAAAGGCCGAAGAUAUUUUGGACCUCAUGUGCAACGCACACCCUCAACUUGAUGGUAGAAGCGGUUUUUGAGCCAUUGGUGAAGGUGCUUCGAUUGGCUGAUAGUGAUGGACGGUCCAUGGCCUCUAUGCAUGGAGAAAUAAUAGAGGCAAGGAAGGCAAUAUUGCUUGCGGUUGAAAAUUCAGAGAAGGACUAUAAGAUCAUCGCAACAGCCAUGGAGGGCAAGAUGAAUGGGAGGUUAGAUACGCGAGAGUGGUGGGCAACUUAUGGACUACAAACUCCUACGUUGAUGCACAUGGCUUUGAGGAUACUCAACUUGACCACAAGUUCUUCUGGAUGUGAACGGAAUUGGAGUGUUUUUGAACAAGCUAUAGAGCCUUGUAGGAGUGCAAGAGUGAGAGAACUCCAUGAAGUAGAAGAAUUUGUUGCUGAUGAAGAUUCAGAAAAUGAGAUUGCUUUGGAAGAGGAGAUAGAAUUUGAGUCUGAUAAUGAUGAGAUGAUUUAA